RNAcentral lists this ribosomal RNA (468 nucleotides) under uncultured bacterium. RNAcentral's name for it is "partial 16S ribosomal RNA". It matches the Rfam family "Bacterial small subunit ribosomal RNA", at positions 28 to 507 of the family's 1533-position model. The record is from RNAcentral.
GACGAACGCUGGCGGCGUGCUUAACACAUGCAAGUCGAACGGAAAGGCCCUGCUUUUGUGGGGUGCUCGAGUGGCGAACGGGUGAGUAACACGUGAGUAACCUGCCCUUGACUUUGGGAUAACUUCAGGAAACUGGGGCUAAUACCGGAUAGGAGCUCCUGCUGCAUGGUGGGGGUUGGAAAGUUUCGGCGGUUGGGGAUGGACUCGCGGCUUAUCAGCUUGUUGGUGGGGUAGUGGCUUACCAAGGCUUUGACGGGUAGCCGGCCUGAGAGGGUGACCGGCCACUUUGGGCCUGCGAUACGGCCCAGACUCCUACGGGAGGCAGCAGUGGGGAAUAUUGCACAAUGGGCGGAAGCCUGAUGCAGCAACGCCGCGUGCGGGAUGACGGCCUUCGGGUUGUAAACCGCUUUCGCCUGUGACGAAGCGUGAGUGACGGUAAUGGGUAAAGAAGCACCGGCUAACUACGUG